UCAGCAUUGAAUACUGCCUCUCAAGAGCCACAUGAUGAGCAUGGGCAUCACUGUCACCAUGAUCAUGACCACAAACAUGACCAUCAUGAGCAUGAUCACACCCAUGACCCUGGUGUUUCCUCUGUUAAGCAUUGUUUGCGAAGGGGAGAUGGAUCUCUAAAAGUAAAAGUGCUGACACUGACAUAUGCCAGAUGAAGGGACU
Aegilops tauschii subsp. strangulata is the source of this 202-nucleotide long non-coding RNA. RefSeq lists it as uncharacterized. The record is from RefSeq and is a predicted model, not a curated record. NCBI's taxonomy places the organism in Eukaryota, Viridiplantae, Streptophyta, Magnoliopsida, Poales, Poaceae.